AACUCUCAACCCCCCCGUUUUGUAAUGAGACGGGCGUCUUGGGCUUGGAUUAUGGCCGCCUGCUGGCAUUGAUUUGCCGGCUCGGCUGAAAUACAUGAGCAACCCAGUGUUUUGAAAGACUGCUUUCUUAACGGCUUGACUCGGCGUAAUAGUUUAUUUCGCUGAGGACGUUUUGAAUACGCGACUUUUCAAUCAUCAAGUGGAUGCUUCUAAUGCGCGGGAUCCCUUCUUUAAGGCCCCACACCUUUUAAGCUU
RNAcentral lists this unclassified non-coding RNA (255 nucleotides) under Hasegawazyma lactosa. Its description in RNAcentral is "ITS 2". The record is from RNAcentral. Lineage: Eukaryota; Fungi; Basidiomycota; Cystobasidiomycetes; Erythrobasidiales.